UUAGUCAGGCAACGAGCGAGACCCGUGCCCACUGUUACCAGCAUGUCCUCCGGGAUGAUGGGUACUCUGUGGGGACCGCCGGUGUUAAAUCGGAGGAAGGUGCGGGCCACGGUAGGUCAGUAUGCCCCGAAUUUCCCGGGCUACACGCGGGCUACAAUGAAUGGGACAAUGGGUCCCUCCCCUGAAAAGGGCUGGUAAUCUCACAAACCCAUCCGUAGUUCGGAUCGAGGGCUGUAACUCGCCCUCGUGAAGCUGGAAUCCGUAGUAAUCGCGUUUCAAUAUAGCGCGGUGAAUACGUCCCUGCUCCUUGCACA
This 314-nucleotide ribosomal RNA is filed under the name uncultured methanogenic archaeon. RNAcentral's name for it is "bacterial SSU rRNA". It matches the Rfam family "Archaeal small subunit ribosomal RNA", at positions 1030 to 1343 of the family's 1478-position model. Lineage: Archaea; Methanobacteriati; Methanobacteriota. The record is from RNAcentral.